AAGUCGUAACAAGGUUUCCGUAGGUGAACCUGCGGAAGGAUCAUUACCGAGUUAGGGUACUCUUCGUGCCCGACCUCCAACCCUUUGUCUACCUGACCAGAUGUUGCUUCGGCAGGCCCGCCGCCCCGCGAGGGGUGGCCGCCGGGGGUCCUUACCGGCCCCGGGUCCGUGCCUGUCGAUGGCCCUUCUAAAACUCUUGCUUAAACGUGUCGUCUGAGUAAAACAAACAAAAUAAAAACAAAACUUUCAACAACGGAUCUCUUGGUUCUG
This 270-nucleotide unclassified non-coding RNA is filed under the name uncultured Cyphellophora. RNAcentral's name for it is "sequence contains ITS1". The stretch from base 1 to 46 matches the Rfam family "Eukaryotic small subunit ribosomal RNA", at positions 1786 to 1831 of the family's 1831-position model. Lineage: Eukaryota; Fungi; Ascomycota; Eurotiomycetes; Chaetothyriales; Herpotrichiellaceae. The record is from RNAcentral.